AACGAACGUUGGCGGCGUGGAUUAGGCAUGCAAGUCGAACGAAUCCCCACUGGCGUAGCAAUACAUUGGUGGGGGGAAGUGGCGAAAGGGGCAGUAAUGCGUGGGUAAUCUACCUCGGGGACGUGGAUAGCCAUUCUAACGAGUGGGUAAUACGCGGCGAUUUGGUUGAGGGGCAUCCCUUGGCCAGGAAAUGAAUUUCGCCUCGAGAGGAACUCACGUGAUAUUAGCUAGUUGGCGGGGUAACGGCCCACCAAGGCAAAGAUGUCUAGCGGGUGUGAGAGCACGACCCGCGCCACGGGCACUGAGACACUGGCCAGACACCUACGGGUGGCUGCAGUCGAGGAUCUUCGGCAAUGGGCGCAAGCCUGACCGAGCGACGCCGCGUGUGCGAUGAAGGCCUUCGGGUUGUAAAGCACUGUCGAGGGGGAGGAAGCCGAAAGGUUGACCUAUCCCUGGAGGAAGGACGGGCUAAGUUCGUGCCAGCAGCCGCCGUAAAAC
Molecule: ribosomal RNA, 498 nt
Filed under: uncultured bacterium
Lineage: Bacteria
Description: bacterial SSU rRNA
Rfam family: Bacterial small subunit ribosomal RNA
Source: RNAcentral